GCCCAAACUAAACACUUGACAGUUGCUUGCUUCUUUAGCACAUGGCUUCCAAUUCCAAGAACAAAGUGCAUCACCUGUGAUUGGUCCCUGUAAAUUAAGUAAAAACGCGUGCAGUACUCAACAAGUCAUUUGGAUUUGGUGCACUAGCAUCUGCAGAGACUAUACGUGCAUCCCCAGAAGUGCUUGUGCAUCCAUUGAUUAUUUCUUCAACUUGCUUACCAAGGAUGUCAAGUGUGUUGUCUACUAACGUGGUUGCUUCUGGAAAGUUAGUCGCUCGAUGUGCUAAAUUGUGGAAUUUGUGAGACACAAAUCUGUAGCUAAGCAUUGCAGCCAUAUUUGGAUUUUCCAUUACGUUUCUUCCCAUGUUAUCUUUUAUAGUUCCACUCCUUGCUUCCUUCGUCCAUCGCUUUAGCACAUAUUGUGGUGGUAGUGACUUGAUAUUCAUCAAAUCAAGAACCUUAAGAGCAUGGGCACACAAUAUCCCAAUUCUAUCAAAUUGCCGCAGCUGCACACAGCUGUUUCCUUCAAAGGAUCACCGGUAACUUUAUACUCCUACUAGAUAUUCAUCAUUACCAACCAAAGCCUUUGUGCAAGCUGCCAAGGAUCUUUCAAAUUCACCUUGAAAAGCUUCAAAUAUAACAUGUGUAUAUAGCUUGCUAGCUUGCACCAACAUUGGUGGUGGUCUCCUCAUACAUAGUUUAGGCAACUUCUUCCUAGAAUCAAAUUCUGAGUCCAGCUCAUUAUUCCUUUUUCCUUGCACCACCCUUUCAAAAUGCUUAAAGAACCGAAUGAUAUCAAAAUCAGAUUUGAAAUGGAUUUUCAAGUCAUUGUUCAAACUCUCACUCAAUUGUGUACUUCUCAUUCCUAAUGUGAAGACAUCCUUCAUAUAACAUUCAACCCAUUUUUCUUUCACCUUGUAUAUACUAUCCAACCAAGUUUGUUUGCUCACCUUUUCUCUCAUGAGGUCAAAUUUUUGUUCAAACUCGAUCAUGUCUUCGUACUCAAACAUGCAUGCGCUAAAAUCUGAUAGAAUACUUGGCUCUUCAUUCUUCUCUGUUUUCUUUCCUUCAUUCUUCUUUUUUUCUUCCCUUCAUGCUUCUUUUGUUUCUUCCCUUCAUUCUUAUCUUCAUUCUUCCCUUCAUUCUGCUCUCCAUUCUUCCCUGCAGUCUUCUCUUCAUUAUUCUCUUCGUUCUUCUCCUCAUGCAGAUGUUUGAUAGCAUUUUGCAUAAUGUGAAAAGUGCAUAAUCCAUGCCAUGUUUCUGGAAACACCUCCCCAGCUGCAUUUCCCAUUGCAGUAUCUUGAUCCGUAUAGAAUGUUUUAGGAUGUUGUCCAUUAUGGGCUUUGAGAAAGGUUUUAAACAACCACUCGAAGGAAUCAAACGUUUCAUCAUACAUGAGAGCAGCACCAAAAACUACAGUUUCUCUCCUUGUUUGUUCCAAAAGUGGUGUCAAAACUAACAACAUCACCCAAAUGUGCGUAGUCCAUGAUCAUUUUAGCAUCAGCCCAAAAUAUAUUUGCUAUUUGCUCUUCACAAUCCAUUUGCAAGGCAUAUUGGAAUGAUGGGUUUUCUGCAACUUUGUCUUGAAAAUACUUAAGCAUGCUACCUGCUUCGCCAUAUGCCAUCUCUCGUUGUCGCUUUGUCCGCAAAUAAUUCUUGCGAUCACGAAGGGUGUAGCUAAGAUUGAGUGGUCCGCCAACUUGGCGACUAGCCAACUCCCCCAAUUCCAGCGGCAUCUGCUGUGUCGAUUUCAAAAGAUUGUACCUCUGAAAUUUUCCUUUGUGACACCAUUAAGUGCAAGGUCUCUGGCAGAUGUAGUGUGUGAUUGUGUUCCAAAGACAACUCAGACACUUUUAAAUUUCCCUUCUUUCUAUCCUUUUUAGAUUCAUGAAGACUUGACAUUCCGUUCUAGUUUCAGCUCUAGGGCACUUUGUUAAAUGAUCCCUUUUGUCUUGCGAUCGAUGUCCCUCGUUUGCACAAACAAAUCUGCAUGAUGUAACCUUGCCAUCGGUUGGCCUUCUGUUUGUGUACCUUUUUCUGACCUCAAAACCUUUCUGGCCACUGUAGGUCAGCCAAAAUGCCCAAGCCUCAUCCGAGUUUCUAAAUUCCAUGCCAACAAGAGGUACCAAACCAGGAAGUAUAGCUCUACAAUGAAAAAAACAACAUGAGCAAGGGACAUGUGAAGUGCAGAGCAAAUAUUAGAACCAAUGUAAAAGAGAACAUAGAAUGAAUAGUUGUCAUUGGGGACAUGAAACAGUUCGUGUAAACUCUUGUUAAAAAUUCUGAGACUCAGGCCAAAUAGAAUAAGCAAGGGAGCAAUAGUAUUUGGACAACUUAAAUUUGUCUGAUCUCUCCUUAGAAAUAACAUACAUACUGGGUGUUGUAUCACUUACGUA
This is a non-coding RNA of Aegilops tauschii subsp. strangulata, 2395 nucleotides long. Lineage: Eukaryota; Viridiplantae; Streptophyta; Magnoliopsida; Poales; Poaceae. The record is from RefSeq and is a predicted model, not a curated record.